GUAUAAACCAAGCACCACACAGGAUCCAAAAGUGUCACAAGCUAUACAUACAUAAGAAUGGCUCAUUCACUUGUCUCAAUGAUUUUGGCAAAAGUUAUUGUCACAGUCAUGGUCAUUGUUUUAUUUUCACUUGGUGUUAGCAGCAAGCCCCGGUGUGUUGGAGCGUGCUCUCAAUUUCCUGACUGUGCUGCCUACUGCAAAACUAAGGGCUAUCAGACGGGGACUUGUACUCUAGAUGUCUGUUGUUGUGCCAAAGCUGUUGAACACAUUUUUAGCUAAGAUUUUCUUGAUAUGAUUGCAAACAAUCAAUGUAUCUUUCGAAUAAUUAUUAGCUUCAUUGCUGGAAAUAAAAAACAUUAUGAGAAGUUGAGUUUCA
This is a long non-coding RNA of Glycine soja, 376 nucleotides long. RefSeq lists it as uncharacterized. NCBI's taxonomy places the organism in Eukaryota, Viridiplantae, Streptophyta, Magnoliopsida, Fabales, Fabaceae. The transcript has 2 exons. The record is from RefSeq and is a predicted model, not a curated record.